UUGAGCAAUAGAUUUUUGGCUUGAGGAGGCAUCGUUAUGAUUGAGUAAGAGGAGGGAUGUGGAGAGUUAGACGCCGAUUUGUCUGAAGGAGUAAUUAAGUAGCUUUGUUUCGUCAUUAUAGCCGUCGCAAGCGUUAUACGGAGGAGAUAGGAAGACAGUGAGUUCUGGAAGGUCUUCUGUAGACGUCGUAACAAAAUUAGGUUGGAGUACGAAGAUGACAAAACAAAUGAGUCAUUAAAGCUAAAGAGCCUAUUACGCAGCACAUAUUCGUGGCCCAACAACUUAACAUCCAUGAUGACAUGGACAAAUGAUUGGUUGCGAAUACGUGGACAGCUUAAGAGGGCUUUAUAUUCUCUUUUUAAUAGUGUAAGAUGUUUUGUUUCGAUAUAUUUAUUUGUUUGAAAUAUCAUUAAUUUAUGUUAACAUAUUAAAUGUCUCUAUUAAUCUUUUCGUAACCAGGUUAAAAUCUUUCUUAAAAUUUAAAAUACUCUACAUUUAAUAAUAAUAAAAAAAUUCUAUCAUCUUAUGUAUAUUAUAUAUUUUCUUAUAUAUCGUCUGAUUGAUUUUGAAUUAUUUUUUGAAGUAUAGGUAAAUAACCUUUAUUUCAUAUAAAUAUAUAAUUUUAUAAAUGUGUAAUAAUUUUGAAUACUUAAAUCUGUAAAUUUUGAUAACCAAUAAAAUGAUUCAGCAAUUCUUUAAGUUUUGAAGCCAUAAUUUAUUUUCAAUAUUAAACUUUUUGGUAUUUAUUAUUUUGUAAAUAAUUAUUUGUUAUAAAAAUGUGAAAUAUGUAGUAGAUUUCAAUGUGAACAAUUCUGUAUUUAGUUACUACAUAAAAGGAUAUUGAGAACCAUUAACGUAUUCACAGAUGGUCACUUAUUUAGCUAAUCUUAAAAAUUAUCUCUUAACGUUAAAAAAUUCUUAGGUGUUGAGUUUCAGGAUAUAAUUUUGUUAACAUAUUCUCUCUCUAUUAGAAAAAAUCAGAGACGUGUAUGAAAUCGGAAGCAUAAUAUUGAAAUAUAGACAUGUACCUCUUCAUCCAUCAUCAGCAUCUCAAGGCCGAGAAGGAUGCCUCCUUUGGAACCAUUAAAGCUAAAUGGUCUAUUACGCAGCACAGAUUCGUGGCCCAACAACUUAACAUCCAUGAUGACAUGGCGCUCCUGAUGAAACCUAACUGAAGAAAAGUGGAGAAUGAACUUGGGUGGUGGUAACUGCCGUUUGAUUUGCCAUAAAGCUAGGAAUGAAUUUGAGGAUCUGAGCAAUAGAUUUUUGCCUUGAGGAGGCAUCGUUAUGAUUGAGUAAGAGGAGGGAUGUGGAGAGUUAGACGCCGAUUUGUCUGAAGGAGUAAUUAAGUAGCUUUAAUUCGUCAUUAUAGCCGUCGCAGGCGUUAUACGGAGGAGAUAGGAAGACAGUGAGUUCUGGAAGGUUUUCUGUAGACGUCGUAACAAAAUUAGAUUGGAGUAAGAAGAUGGCAAAACAAAUGGGUCAUUAAAGCUAAAUGGCCUAUUAC
Molecule: long non-coding RNA, 1507 nt
Filed under: Brassica napus (rape)
Lineage: Eukaryota; Viridiplantae; Streptophyta; Magnoliopsida; Brassicales; Brassicaceae
Description: long non-coding RNA (BNAP_LNC023854)
Source: RNAcentral